Small nucleolar RNA from Tachyglossus aculeatus (Australian echidna), 138 nucleotides. Lineage: Eukaryota; Metazoa; Chordata; Mammalia; Monotremata; Tachyglossidae. The record is from RefSeq and is a predicted model, not a curated record.
CCCCUCUCAGGAUUGCACCUGGAGAAUUUCCAGUACUCUACCAGUCUCGACUAGGUGAGGGAGAGUCAAGCAGAGGCCUACCUAUUCCAUUCUUAGUUUGGGCAGUGGCUAGCAAGUGGAAGGCAGUCUGCUACAAGU